This 289-nucleotide unclassified non-coding RNA is filed under the name uncultured fungus. RNAcentral describes it as "partial contains 5.8S rRNA, ITS2 and 28S rRNA". It matches the Rfam family "Eukaryotic large subunit ribosomal RNA", at positions 668 to 961 of the family's 3401-position model. The record is from RNAcentral. Lineage: Eukaryota; Fungi.
AAGGAGUCUAACAUAUCUGCGAGUAUUUGGGCGUCAAAACCGAGUGCGCAAUGAAAGUGAACGUAGGAGCCACGCGCACGCUGCAGCUUCGACCGAUCUGGAUCUUUAGUGAUGGAUUUGAGGAAGAGCAUAUAUGUUGGGACCCGAAAGAUGGUGAACUAUGCCUGAAUAGGGCGAAGCCAGAAGAAACUCUGGUGGAGUCUCGUAGCGAUUCUGACGUGCAAAUCGAUCGUCAAAUUUGGGUAUAGGGGCGAAAGACUAAUCGAACCAUCUAGUAGCUGGUUCCUGC